UAACUGAAGAGUUUGAUCAUGGCUCAGAUUGAACGCUGGCGGCAGGCUUAACACAUGCAAGUCGAGCGGGGGAA
This 74-nucleotide ribosomal RNA is filed under the name Acinetobacter baumannii. RNAcentral's name for it is "partial 16S ribosomal RNA". It matches the Rfam family "Bacterial small subunit ribosomal RNA", at positions 1 to 74 of the family's 1533-position model. Lineage: Bacteria; Pseudomonadati; Pseudomonadota; Gammaproteobacteria; Moraxellales; Moraxellaceae. The record is from RNAcentral.